AUAUGUACUAUUCAAAACACGAGCAGGAGUGCUUUAUCAGAUAUAAAAAACGAGAGAGCAGCUCGAGUGUUUUAUAUCUGAUAAAGCAAGGACUGCGAGUGUUUUGAUGCCUUAAAAAACGACCCAUCUGAAGAGUUCACUGGCGAAGUAAUUUUAAAAGUCUAAGCCGAGAAAAUCAAAGCUAUAAACUAAAGUUUAUGUAAAUGAACAUGAUUUUUUAUCACAUAUAAAACCACCGACACAGCAGUGAUUUCCUUUGUCUUUUGAGUUUUUAAAUAUAGCUAUAUAUAUUUAAAAAUGUUCGAAUCCUUCACUGGUUCAAAAACUAGAAUUGGAUAGAUCAUCAUUUCCAAUUCAGUGAGCCAAUUUUCAAGCCAGAAUUUUUAUAAUGGGAAGAAAAUCCUAAAUGGAUCAAUGAUACUAUGUACGUUUAAAUUAGAUGCAUUUUACUGCAUGCAACUUGUAUAGGAAGAAGACUUUUGGUUGACCUACACUAAGUUGUCAUGUAGUACAUUGUAGUUACGUCGUUCUAGUCAUCUAUUUACUUAUUUCGUGUCCUAUUUACUGUUCUUGUUAGCUUGUUUGUCACUUUAGUUUUAUCACUUUGCCUUAAUAUCACUGAUUUUUGAAUUAAUAUGCAACGGCAAUAAGUAGCGUAAGUAGUAAUAGAUGUACCGUUCGACCCGGAUUUUGGGGGCGCCGCAGAGUGCCGCAGCAUCAUUAGCAUAAAACAUGGUGCCGCAUCAUCAUUAGUAUAAAACGGGGCGCCGCUGAGGUAAUUAAAUAUUCAGUAAAUGAGGGUGAGAUAAUUGAUAUUCAUGAUGACGUGCGCACAUGCUGAGUUUGGGCGAAACAGUCAUUAAACUGAGCCUACCAUUCUCGUCACAAAGGUUGUUUCGACUAUUAUUUUUGGGGCGGUGAGGGGCCGGUAGUGGAGGACUAAUUAUGAUUGUAUGCUGAGCUCAACAAUUUUUCGCGUCCCCAUGCCAUCUAAUGACAAUAGCUAAGCGUCGGUACAAAUUCCGCGAGCGUUUUAUUUAAGUGUACGUUAAUUGUGGGUUUUGUGAGAUAUAUCAAAAUUUUGUCUUGUUAACAUCGAAAAUGUGUGCUGCCAAAGUCAUUAAUAUUUGUUAAAGGAUUAUAGCGGAUAAAUGUAUUACGCGAGCGUAAACCUAAAAAUAUGGCGGCAUACUAAAGUAUAGUAUGAUAUCCUAUAGAUAUUGAAUGACAUAGGUGUAGAGUAUGGGGUGGGGUGGGGGGCGGGGUUGAGGGGGUUCGAGCCCCUCGAGAAAUCUUACUGGGGGUGGGGGCUCAGUCCUUCUAGAAAUUUUGCAGAACUUUCUAUAGUCUAAUGCCGUAACCUCUAACUAUACAUAAUACAGUAUUACGGUCUGUACUAACCCUGUACCGCACGAAUUAUGCAGAUCUGUUAGGUUAAUACUGGUCACAAUGGUCAGGUCUCCAAUUAAUUUUCUUUUAAAAUAACGGUUUUUUCACAAUUUGUCACCAUAGGCGUACGGGGCUGGGCAGGGGGGCACGGAGGGCAGCCCCCCCAGGUCGGGCAAAAAUUUUAAAAAGAAGACAUGUGCAAUAUAGUAGUUGAAAUUACAAAAGAAUUAUGUAAAAGUAACGAGUAAUUUUAACAGAUUAGGAAAUAUUUUUCGUCUCCCCCUCCGACAACAAUUUUGGUAAGUCAGCCCCCUCAGACAAAAACAAAACUCUACACCUAUGUUGCAUGAUAUCCAAAGAUAUUGAUAUCCUAAGAUACUGCAUGAUAUCCUAAGGCAUAUCAUGAUAUCCUAAGUAUAGCAUGAUAUCUAAGAUAUUGAAUGAUACCCUAGGAUGUUCUAUGAUGUCAUAAGAUAGUGGAUGAUAUCCUAGAUCAUAGUCUUAAUAGUCAGCCUUGCUCGGAGCCUAAUCUAAAUAGCUCGGAGCCUAGCUCGAACUAUCGAACUAGACUCCAAGGUAUUAGCUGGGCUUUGUGUAAUAUAAACUGUGUCCUUCAGUUAAAAGAAUUAAUCUCAUUCAAUCAUUCAACUUUGGAAUUCAUUGAUUUGGAAUUCAUUGAUUUAUUCUAGGAUUCUAUUAAUAAUUCCAUCUAGGAUUCAAUGAUACAAUCUUAAGAUUCAAUGAUUCAAACCUAGGAUUCAGUGAUUCAGUCUGGGGAUUCAAUGAUUCAAUCUUAGGAACCAAUCAUUUAAUCUGGGGAUUCAAUCUUAAUAUUCAAUGAUUGCAUCCUAUUGAAUCAAUGAAUCC
Paramuricea clavata is the source of this 2256-nucleotide non-coding RNA. Lineage: Eukaryota; Metazoa; Cnidaria; Anthozoa; Malacalcyonacea; Plexauridae. The record is from the annotation of a GenBank genome assembly.